Globicephala melas (long-finned pilot whale) is the source of this 4750-nucleotide RNA transcript. It is a transcript of the gene named tenascin R, with no coding region annotated. The record is from RefSeq and is a predicted model, not a curated record. NCBI's taxonomy places the organism in Eukaryota, Metazoa, Chordata, Mammalia, Artiodactyla, Delphinidae.
GAGAGCGCGUGAGAGAGAGAGAGAGAGAGAGCGCAAAGCCGUCCCAGGCUUCCUCGUCUCUUUCACGUCAGAGGCAGGAACCGACUGUACUAAGGCUGUUGGCUCAGCACGCAGGGACGGAGAAAGGCGCAGACACAGAGUGAGAGAAGAGGGGUCCUCCCUGACCCAAGGAAUUACCACUAGUGGAGUAAAGCCACCUGACUUUUCGAGCUUAUUUUUGUUGCCUCCGCUUUCUCCUUCCACUCUAGCCCUGCCAGCUUGGGUUUCAUUUCUUUCGUGGAGCCUCCUCUCAUCCUCCCAGGAAAGGAGGAAGGGAAGAGAAGAGAGAGAGGUGGGCUCUCUAGGUGAGCGCAUCAGCUGGCUCCAGCCCGCAAAGACAAGAAUUCUCUACACAGGAAGCUCCUCUAGCUCCCGUGCCACCCACCCCCAGCCCGGGUGGCCAUAUCACCGUGACUGCAGAGACCAGUUCUCUUUUGGUGUUAGGAUAAAAGAACGUGCGGAAAAGAGAAAACAUCGAAGACAGCAUCGCUAAAGGCCGGUCUUGAACCCAGCGCUCUGCUGAGAGGAUGGGGGCAGACGGGGAAACAGUGGUCUUGAAGAACAUGCUCAUUGGAGUCAACCUGAUCCUUCUGGGCUCCAUGCUCAAGCCCUCGGAGUGUCAGCUGGAGGUCACUACGGAAAGGGUCCAGAGACAGGCGGUGGAGGAGGAAGGAGGCGCUGACGGCUACAAUACAUCCGGCAAAGAGCAGCCGGUGGUCUUCAACCACGUGUACAACAUUAACGUGCCCCUGGACAGCCUCUGCUCCUCGGGGCUGGAGGCCUCGGCCGAGCAGGAGGUGAGUGCCGAAGACGAGGUGCUGACAGAGUACACGGGCCAGACCUUGGACCACGCGAGCCACGUCACCUUCACCCACAGGAUCAACCUCCCCAAAAAGGCCUGCCCAUGCGCCAGCUCUGCCCAGGUGCUGCAGGAGCUGCUGAGCCGCAUCGAGAUGCUGGAGAGGGAGGUGUCAGUGCUUCGGGACCAGUGCACCAGCAGCUGCUGCCAGGAAAGUGCAGCCACAGGACAACUGGAUUAUAUCCCUCACUGCAGUGGCCACGGCAACUUUAGCCUCGAGUCCUGCGGCUGCAUCUGCGAUCAAGGCUGGUUUGGCAAGAACUGCUCGGAGCCCUACUGCCCCCUAGGCUGCUCCAGUCGGGGCGUGUGUGUGGAUGGCCAGUGCAUCUGUGACAGCGAGUACAGCGGCGACGACUGCUCAGAGCUCCGGUGCCCGACAGACUGCAGCUCCCGGGGGCUGUGCGUGGACGGGGAGUGUGUCUGUGAAGAGGCCUACACUGGCGAGGGCUGCAGCGAGCUGAGGUGCCCUGGGGACUGUUCAGGGAAGGGGAGAUGUACCAACGGUACCUGCCUGUGCCAGGAGGGCUACGCUGGUGAGGACUGCGGCCAGCAGUGGUGUCUGAACGCCUGCAGUGGGCGAGGACACUGCCAGGAGGGGAUCUGCUUCUGUGAAGAGGGCUACCAGGGCCCUGACUGCUCGGCAGUUGCCCCUCCAGAGGACUUGCGAGUGGCUGGUAUCAGCGACAGGUCCAUUGAGCUGGAAUGGGACGGGCCGAUGGCAGUGACGGAAUAUGUGAUCUCUUACCAGCCGAUGGCCCUGGGGGGCCUCCAGCUCCAGCAGCGGGUGCCUGGAGAUUGGAGUGGUGUCACCAUCUCGGAGCUGGAGCCAGGUCUCACCUACAACAUCAGCGUCUACGCUGUCAUUAGCAACAUCCUCAGCCUUCCCAUCACGGCCAAGGUGGCCACCCAUCUCUCCACUCCUCAAGGGCUACGAUUCAAGACAAUCACAGAGACCACCGUGGAGGUGCAGUGGGAGCCCUUCUCGUUCUCCUUCGAUGGGUGGGAGAUCAGCUUCAUUCCAAAGAACAAUGAAGGAGGGGUGAUUGCCCAGCUCCCCAGUGAUGUUACAUCCUUCAAUCAGACGGGAUUAAAGCCUGGGGAGGAAUAUACUGUCAAUGUGGUGGCUCUGAAAGAGCAAGCCCGGAGCCCCCCUACCUCGGCCAGCGUCUCCACUGUCAUUGAUGGGCCCACGCACAUCCUGGUUCGAGAUGUCUCCGACACUGUAGCCUUCGUGGAGUGGACCCCACCUCGAGCCAAAGUCGAUUUCAUUCUCUUGAAGUACGGCUUGGUGGGCGGGGAAGGCGGGAAGACCACCUUCCGACUGCAGCCUCCCCUGAGCCAGUACUCGGUACAGGCCCUGCGGCCCGGCUCCCAAUACGAGGUGUGGGUCAGCGCAGUCCGUGGAACCAACGAGAGCGAGUCCACCACCACCCAGUUCAUAACAGAGAUUGACGCCCCCAAGAACCUGCGGCUUGGUUCCCGCACAGCAACCAGCCUUGACCUUGAGUGGGACAACAGUGAAGCAGAGGUUCAGGAGUACAAGAUUGUGUACAGCACCUUGGCAGGCGAGCAGUACCAUGAGCUGUUGGUCCCCAAGAGCAUCGGUCCAACCACCAGAGCCACGCUCACAGAUCUGGUGCCUGGCACUGAGUAUGGAAUUGGAAUAUCCGCCAUCAUGAACUCACAGCAAAGCGUACCAGCCACCAUGAAUGCCAGGACUGAACUGGACAGUCCUCGAGACCUCAUGGUGACAGCCUCCUCAGAAACCUCCAUCUCCCUCAUCUGGACCAAGGCCAGCGGCCCCAUUGACCACUACCGAAUCACAUUCACCCCAUCAUCUGGGAUCGCCUCCGAAGUCACUGUGCCCAAGGACAGGACCUCGUACACACUGACAGAUCUAGAGCCCGGGGCAGAGUACAUCAUUUCAAUCACAGCUGAGAGGGGUCGGCAGCAGAGCUUGGAGUCCACGGUGGAUGCCUUCACAGGCUUCCGCCCCAUCUCCCAUUUGCACUUUUCUCACGUGACCUCCUCCAGUGUGAACAUCACCUGGAGUGACCCAUCCCCUCCAGCAGACAGACUCAUUCUGAACUACAGCCCCCGGGAUGAAGAGGAAGAGACGAUGGAGGUCUCUCUGGAUGCCACCAAGAGGCAUGCUGUCCUGAUGGGCCUGCAGCCAGCCACCGAGUACAUUGUGAACUUGGUGGCAGUCCACGGCACAGUGACCUCUGAGCCCAUCAUGGGCUCCAUCACCACAGGAAUUGAUCCCCCCAAAGACAUCACAAUCAGCAAUGUGACCAAGGACUCAGUUAUGGUCUCCUGGAGCCCUCCUGUUGCGUCUUUUGAUUACUACCGAGUAUCAUAUCGGCCAACACAAGUGGGACGACUGGACAGCUCGGUGGUGCCCAACACAGUGACAGAAUUCACCAUCAGCAAGCUGUACCCAGCUACCGAAUAUGAAAUCAGCCUCAACAGCGUGCGGGGCAGGGAGGAGAGUGAGCGGAUCUGCACUCUUGUGCACACAGCCAUGGACAAUCCUGUGGAUCUGACUGCUACCAACAUCACUCCAACAGAAGCUCUGCUGCAGUGGAAGGCACCAGUGAGUGAAGUGGAGAACUACGUCAUUGUUCUCACACACUUUGCAGUUGCUGGAGAGACCAUCCUGGUUGAUGGAGACCGUGAGGAAUUCCAGCUUGUUGACCUGCUUCCUAGGACCCACUAUACCGUCACUAUGUAUGCCGCCAGUGGGCCUCUCACCAGUGGCACGAUCAGCACCAACUUCUCUACCCUCCUGGACGCCCCUGCCAAUCUGACAGCAAGUGAAGUCACCAGACAAAGUGCCCUGAUCUCCUGGCAGCCUCCCAGAGCAGAGACUGAGAAUUACAUCUUGACCUACAAAUCCACCGAUGGAAGCCGCAAGGAGCUGAUUGUGGAUGCGGAGGACACGUGGAUCCGACUGGAGGGCCUGUCUGAGAGCACAGACUACACGGUGCUCCUGCAGGCAGCCCAGGACACCGAGCGGAGCAGCAUCACCUCCACCGCCUUCACCACAGGGGGCCGGGUCUUCCCUCAUCCUCAAGACUGUGCCCAGCAUUUGAUGAACGGAGACACUCUGAGCGGGGUUUACACCAUCUUCCUCAAUGGAGAGCUAAGCCGGAAGUUACAGGUGUACUGCGAUAUGACGACCGACGGGGGUGGCUGGAUUGUAUUCCAGAGGCGGCAGAAUGGCCAAACUGAUUUUUUCCGGAAAUGGGCUGAGUACCGCGUUGGCUUCGGGAACCUGGAGGAUGAGUUUUGGCUGGGGCUGGACAACAUACACGGGAUCACGUCCCAGGGCCGCUACGAGCUGCGCAUAGACAUGCGUGACGGCCAGGAUGCCGCCUUCGCCUACUACGACAAGUUCUCUGUCGAGGGCAGCAGAAGCCUGUACAAACUCCGCAUAGGAGGCUACAACGGCACCGCAGGGGACUCCCUCAGCUAUCAUCAGGGCCGCCCUUUCUCCACAGAGGACAGAGACAAUGAUGUUGCAGUUACCAACUGUGCCAUGUCAUACAAGGGGGCUUGGUGGUAUAAGAACUGCCACCGGACCAACCUCAAUGGGAAAUACGGGGAGUCCAGGCACAGCCAGGUGGGUGAAGCUCUGCCGCUGCAUGAAUGACCCAGAGCCGUGCAGCCCACGUCCCUUGGCUUUAUGUUCUAAGUACACAGGGGAUCAACUGGUACCAUUGGAAAGGCCAUGAGUUCUCCAUCCCCUUCGUGGAAAUGAAGAUGCGCCCCUACAGCCACCGUCUCGUGGCGGGGAGGAAACGGCGGUCCUUGCAGUUCUAAGCAGUGGGCGGCUGCGAGCCAACUGAC